Molecule: transfer RNA, 249 nt
Filed under: Metarhizium anisopliae
Lineage: Eukaryota; Fungi; Ascomycota; Sordariomycetes; Hypocreales; Clavicipitaceae
Description: tRNA-Leu
Source: RNAcentral
UUUAUAAUAGCUAAAAGGUUAGAAUUAUUAUUUUAAAGGUUAAAAAUAUUAUAUUAUUACUAAAAAUAGCUUUUAAAAAGGUAUUAUUAUUAUUAAAAAAACUAAAUAAUCUGGAUUUUAAAAAGGUAAUAUUAUUAAAAUAAUAGUUUUUAAAAUUAUUAUUAAAAGUAUUAUUAAAAGCUUUUUAAAUAUUAUAAAAAAGUUUAAUAAAAAUAUUAAUAAUAUUAUUUUUUAUUAAUACUUUAAAAA